GGGGUAGAUGUGAAUGCUGCAGAUCAUACUGGACAAACAACAUUACACUGGAGUGCGGUGCGGGGAGCUGUUCAGGUUGCAGAGAUCUUGCUCCAAGAGGGUGCCAGUGUUGGUGCUGCUGACAUAUAUGGAUAUCAGCUCAUGUGCUUGGCAGAUUUGGAGCUUGAUUCUAUAAAUCUGUAUGAUUUAGCAACGAGAAUUAACAAGGUUGUUAUGCUGGAGUUUCUAUCUCAUGGAAGUAUAUGUGUACUCAGUCUCUUAUCUAGACAUUGGUUCAGGCUCGAUCCUUGCAACACUGUAAGUUCAGGCUUGAUCCUGGUCAACAUUUUUAUGUUUGCAAAGUAUAUAUUGUAUUGUUCUCAAAAUGAAUGUUCUAAACUUUCAAAGUUUCUCAUCGGGUCAUUGACUGUGUUAAAUGGUGCAGAGAGGUCACCAGAACUCCCUGGAGUGGAUGCCUUUGUUCUUGACAUUCAUGACGUUGGGAGUUAUUAAGCACCCUGACAUCUCCUCAGUUCUUGGUGUUGUUUAUAUUUUUAGUCGUUAUUUUUAUUUCAAAGGAUAUUCCACUGGCGAUCCUAAGAAGCGUCUAUCUGUCGGAUUGCAGCGUGAACCUCAUUUUACAGGAUUUAAUUAGCAGAACUUACAUAGUGAAGCCACAAUUUUUGCAGCCAGACAUUUGACACUUUUUUGGGGGCGGACUGAUGGUUGCUGGAAAUAAGAAACGGUAAUGGGAACGAACUCUUUUCAGUGGACAGUUGUUAUGAAUUGUUUUGAAUCA
This is a long non-coding RNA of Daucus carota subsp. sativus, 778 nucleotides long. RefSeq lists it as uncharacterized. The record is from RefSeq and is a predicted model, not a curated record. Lineage: Eukaryota; Viridiplantae; Streptophyta; Magnoliopsida; Apiales; Apiaceae. The transcript has 3 exons.